AACGGCCGUACCAUGCUGAAUAUACCGGUUCUCGUUAAAUAACCGAAGUUAAGCAUCAUUGGGCGCGGUCAGUACUUGGGUGGGUGACCACCUGGGAACACUGCGUGCCGUU
RNAcentral lists this ribosomal RNA (112 nucleotides) under Caerostris darwini. The record is from RNAcentral. Lineage: Eukaryota; Metazoa; Arthropoda; Arachnida; Araneae; Araneidae.